This 347-nucleotide long non-coding RNA is filed under the name Ictidomys tridecemlineatus (thirteen-lined ground squirrel). Its description in RNAcentral is "lncRNA (ENSSTOG00000030978.1)". Lineage: Eukaryota; Metazoa; Chordata; Mammalia; Rodentia; Sciuridae. The record is from RNAcentral.
CCAAUUUAGCCUGGAACUACACUUCCCAGAGGCCACCGGGGCACCUUCGCCUUGCGCUCUGACUGUCCAGGGUGUUGUGAUUUUUAACCUGGCAGCGAACUUUGGAUUUCUGUGAGGAAAAUAAAAUCAGCGCCCGGCCUCAGGCCGAGGUCUUGCAGACUCGGGCGAGCCCCACGGGCUCUGAGUUUCUCUGAAGAGGAACCCCUUAUUUCAAAAAGCAUGGCCCGGCCAAAAGGCCCUUGCAAGAAUCAAGAAGAUGCUCUUGAAUCUCCAGAAUUUUAAUCUCUUUUCUUAAGACAGCAGCCAGACUCAGGUAUUCUGUUGUAGCAACACCAAAUGGAAUAAGA